RNAcentral lists this unclassified non-coding RNA (141 nucleotides) under uncultured fungus. Its description in RNAcentral is "sequence contains ITS1, 5.8S rRNA gene". Lineage: Eukaryota; Fungi. The record is from RNAcentral.
CCGAGUGAGGGCCCUCGGGCCCGACCUCCAACCCUUUGAUUAUCACCCUUUGUUGCCUCGGGGGUUAGCCGUUAAGGCGCCCCCGGUGGACCAUUCAUUCAAACUCUGCAUCUUUGCGUCGGGUUAACAGUGAAAUAAAUA